CAUUUUUGACCUUUUUCUUAAGUUUCUUAGAUUUCUUCUGAUUCUGAUUUUCCUUUUUUCCUAAAAGGAAGUUUGGUCUGAUAUGCCAUUUCUUUCCAUAUUUAUAGCAUGUAGAAAUAAAUGAAGUAUUUUCUUCACUUGUAUCUUUCUCUUUUUCUUUAUGUUUCUAAUGCUUCAAGAACUUUAUGAAGUUUCACACCAUGAGUGACAUGUCACUAUCAGAUUCAGAAUCUCUA
RNAcentral lists this long non-coding RNA (236 nucleotides) under Lathyrus oleraceus (garden pea). RNAcentral describes it as "Pisum sativum (pea) long non-coding RNA (PSAT_LNC015743)". The record is from RNAcentral. Lineage: Eukaryota; Viridiplantae; Streptophyta; Magnoliopsida; Fabales; Fabaceae.